UUUCUUAUAGUUGAAUACAACGGUGAUUUUUCAGAUCACAGGUCUCAGAGUGGUCUGGGUAAGAAUU
Molecule: transfer RNA, 67 nt
Filed under: Bolitoglossa n. sp. RLM-2004
Lineage: Eukaryota; Metazoa; Chordata; Amphibia; Caudata; Plethodontidae
Description: tRNA-Glu
Source: RNAcentral